UAAGGAAUAUUGGACAAUGGCCGCAAGGCUGAUCCAGCCAUGCCGCGUGCAGGAAGACGGACCUAUGGUUUGUAAACUGCUUUUGAACCAGAGAAAACCCCCUUACGUGUAAGGGGCUGUUAGUAUGGUUAGAAUAAGCAUCGGCUAAUUUCUUGCCAGCAGCCGCGGUAAGACGAAGGAUGCAAGCGUUAUCCGGAUCCAUUGGGUUUAAAGGGAGCGUAGUCGGAUUUGUAAGUCAGUGGUGAAAUCUCUUCGCUUAACGAAGAAACUGCCAUUGAUACUGCAGAUCUUGAGUACAGUGGCCGUUGGCGGAAUAUGGCAUGUAGUGGUGAAAUACUUAGAUAUGUCAUAGAACACCGAUUGCGAAGGCAGCUAACGAAGCUGUAACUGACGCUGAGGCUCGAAAGUGCGGGGAUCAAACAGG
This 424-nucleotide ribosomal RNA is filed under the name Bacillota bacterium. RNAcentral describes it as "Firmicutes bacterium partial 16S ribosomal RNA". It matches the Rfam family "Bacterial small subunit ribosomal RNA", at positions 355 to 776 of the family's 1533-position model. The record is from RNAcentral. Lineage: Bacteria; Bacillati; Bacillota.